GACGAACGCUGGCGGCGUGCUUAACACAUGCAAGUCGAACGGAAAGGCCCUGCUUUUGUGGGGUGCUCGAGUGGCGAACGGGUGAGUAACACGUGAGUAACCUGCCCUUGACUUUGGGAUAACUUCAGGAAACUGGGGCUAAUACCGGAUAGGAGCUCCUGCUGCAUGGUGGGGGUUGGAAAGUUUCGGCGGUUGGGGAUGGACUCGAGGCUUAUCAGCUUGUUGGUGGGGUAGUGGCUUACCAAGGCUUUGACGGGUAGCCGGCCUGAGAGGGUGACCAGCCACAUUGGGACUGAGAUAGGGCCCAGACGCCUACGGGAGGCAGCAGUGGGGAAUAUUGCACAAUGGGCGGAAGCCUGAUGCAGCAACGCCGCGGGCGGGAUGACGGCCUGCGGGUUAUAAACCGCUUUCGCCUGUGACGAAGCGUGAGUGACGGUAAUGGGUAAAGAAGCACCGGCUAACUACGUG
RNAcentral lists this ribosomal RNA (468 nucleotides) under uncultured bacterium. RNAcentral's name for it is "partial 16S ribosomal RNA". It matches the Rfam family "Bacterial small subunit ribosomal RNA", at positions 28 to 507 of the family's 1533-position model. The record is from RNAcentral.